RNAcentral lists this non-coding RNA (30 nucleotides) under Mus musculus (house mouse). Lineage: Eukaryota; Metazoa; Chordata; Mammalia; Rodentia; Muridae. The record is from RNAcentral.
AGCCAAAAGACAAGAAGACCAAAACCCAAA